This 655-nucleotide long non-coding RNA is filed under the name Citrus x clementina. RNAcentral's name for it is "Citrus clementina (C. clementina) long non-coding RNA (CCLE_LNC000364)". The record is from RNAcentral. Lineage: Eukaryota; Viridiplantae; Streptophyta; Magnoliopsida; Sapindales; Rutaceae.
AUCCAAUGAUCAAGAAUUGAAAUCACAAAAAAAUAACAUCAGGUGCUAUCUUACAAUUGUUGUAAGGUAGUUGAGUCCUUUAAUCCAUUACCUUUCUAAUGGUAAAAAAAAUAAAAAAAAUAUUAAAAAAAAAAGCGUAACACAUGAAUUUUCCCAAAAAAAAUCAUCUAUGGUAAGACUGUUCUCUUUCAAAGACACUUUAGUUACAAAAUUCUAAAGCAAUCCAGUGUAUACGUGGCAGCAUGAUUGCACAAUUUGCCCUCAAAGAGAGACGAGGGUUGGUAUAAAACGUACUGCAAUUUCUAUAAUUCUAUAAUUGUGUGGCAAAAGAUCAAAAAGGGUUGGUAUGAUUGAAAAUGGACCAAAAUGCCCCUCAACAACCCCCACACAACCGCCAAUUUCUAUUUAUUUAUUUAUUUCUUCGGAGCAGCACCAACUUUUUGAGAUAAAAUGGAAAGUAAAGCUAAAUGUUCUCACCAAUAUUUCCUAACGCUACCAACUUCAACAAGAUCGACACGGUGAAUGGUGACCACAUUAUCCGCUCAUCUUAAGCCAUCACAGUGAAAGGAUUUCUCUAUCGAAGCAGCGAAAAGUUAUUUGUCGCAAUCAUUUGGAGAAGUAGCUUCUAAUGCUUUAUUUAAAUUUUGUAAGAUAA